Amphiprion ocellaris (clown anemonefish) is the source of this 3201-nucleotide long non-coding RNA. The record is from Ensembl. Lineage: Eukaryota; Metazoa; Chordata; Actinopteri; Pomacentridae.
AGUCACGUGACCAAACCACGCCUCGGCACAGUGGCUCGAUACGUUUGCUUCAUGAGCUACAGCGCAUGUGUCGAAGCCUCGGGUAUCAGAGGACCAUCACUACUCAUGGCGCCUGCGCAGACGCUCGGUGGAAUUUCUGUUUACGUUUGAAUCAGCGACUCGCUCCUGGAAGCUGCGGAGAUUUAACCGGUAAAAAUGUGAUUAAAGUCAACAUUGAUCAUCAGUUCCUGGCUGCUGUGGAGAAAAUCUGUGGACCAGAGACAGACUUUACUGUCGGUGAACGUUUAUUACCGCUGCGUCUCUCAGGUUCCUGAUUUCCCAGCAGGGUUGGCGUUCCUCUGAAUAUGUUUCCGGUGAUGAAGAUAACUCCAUCCAAAGCUUCCAUGCAGACGUCCGUCGCUGCAGCGAAGAUCAAGAAUAAGAUUCUCAACACCUCGUCCUUCUUCAAGGUCUCUCUGAAGACCAACAAUAAGGCUCUGGCUCGGGCUCUGGAGGCCCAGAAGGAAAGAUGUCGGGAGCUGGAGAAGGAGGUGGUCUUCCUGAAGAAACAGAUCGAAGCCGACUGCUUCGAACGGGCGACCAAGAACUACAAGCAGAGUAAACUGAUCCUGAUCGUGAAGAACCUGCUCAGUAACACUCUGCAGCACUGGAACAUGGUGACGGAUCUGUUCCCUGAACCCGAGCUUUCAGAAGAUGCUUUGAUGUUCCCUGAAAUCAACCAGGCUCCUGCUGCAGCAGAAAGCCUCACAGAUCAGUUGCUGCUGCAGCCGGAAGUUUUCAGUGGUUCUUUGUGUCUGACUGAAACCGAAUCAGCUGACCAGCCUGAGAAGAUCCCCAGCAAAGACGUCUGCAGCGUCCAGAGACACGACAAGUCCUCACACGUUUCUGAUGACGCUGAGAAAAGAUGUUCGAGUUGGUUUGUUCAAGUCGCCCAGACAGGAAGCUCCAGCAGCCUGAGGGAGGAAGUGGAGAGACUGUCGAUGGUUUUAUCUCAGUCUGGGUUCGACAUGAAAUCUGUCCUCUCGGUCCAGAACCAGCAGACAUGUGGUCAGUCCAACUCCUCUUGUUCUGCUGUGGAACCUGAACCAUCGCCUGGAAACAAACCAGAGAAAACUCUGCUGCUGAACACCACAAUGGAGAUGACGCUCAGUAACGCCAGUGAGAUCAUCACUGUGGAAACCAAAACCAAAAAGACCAGAUGCUCCAAGAAACCGAAAGGCAAAAAGAAAGAAGAACAAACCUGUGCAGAGGCGAAGAACCCGGCAGAUUCCAGGUCCAGCGAAGAAGUUACCAGAACUGUGGGCCAAACGGUCAAAGAUUUUAGAGACACAGGAUGUCCUGAGCUUCAGUCGCCCAAAAUGUUGUAUAGAAACAUCACCACCUCUCGCAUCCCCAAACUGGCCAAACAUCAGAAAAUGUCGAAGAACAAAUUAAAAUCCAGAGAGUUGGUCCUACCAGACCUGGAUGAUUAUUUCACAGAUCCUGAAGUUCAGUCUUCAGAUGCCAGACAGACGGAUCCUUCAGAGGAGACAAACCCCAGAAUCACCUGCAGGAAGUCCAGAAAAACAGUCAGCAGGAAGACUUUAGUUCCUCGUGAGAUGGAGAGGAGUCUGUCCGAACUGCAGCAGAUUCACUCUGAACCUGAAGACCAAAUGAUGUUCUGUACAGAUGAGUCCAGACAGGUGGAACUUCUUCCCCCUCAUGGAAAUGAAUCACAGAGCAGAACGAAGACGGAUCCCAGUGGAGGCUCAAGGUGCAGAGGAACCUUUGUGAUCUCAGUGGACCAAGACAGCUUCUACUCCAGCAGAGCUUCACCAGAACCAGACCUGAUGCUUCCAGCAGGGUCCAGUCAGGAGGUUCUGGAUGGAAGCGAACAGUCCGACUGGAAUCCUCAGCCGGAGCCUCGGCGCUCCUGGAAGCGCUCCUGGACGGACGCUGAGAAGGUCAACCAACUCACUGACUCAGGGUCAGAGGUCCAGAAACAUAAAAAAUCCAGAAGAAAAGAAACGAGACCAUCCAGCAAGAAGAGAGAGGAAGACAUUUCAAAUGACAAGAAGAAGAAGAAGAAGAAGAAGAAAAGUCAGCGCAGCAACAAAGAGGUUGGAUUUGAGAAUGAAGCAGGUUCUGAUCCCAUUGAUGCUCCACCUGAACCCAGAACAGAAGAUUUACAGCUGCUGGACUCACAUCCUGACACCAGCAAGGAGGACCACUUCUUCCAGUAUCUGUCUUCCAAGUCCUGGACGGAUCUGAAACCAAACAGGAAGACGUUUGAUGUGAAUUCAGCGGCAGACUCCAGAAACCUUCGAGGGACGUUUGUUGUUUGUCGACGGAAAACUGGAGAUGAAAAUAUUUGUGUGAACGUCAGCAGGACAUCUGAGUCUGUCCACCACGAUGUUGGAGAUCUGCUGAUGGACGAGCUGCCACCGUGGAUGAACGGCGACGUGAACGCUGCCAACAUCGAAUCUUUACUGGCCAGUCCUAGCAGAGAAACGGAGAUCCAGGAGUCGACUGGAAACUCUCCAGCAGGAAGAGUUCUAUUGUCGCUGACGAACACGAUGUCGACUCCAGACGGGGAAGCUGGAGGAAGGACCAGGAGGAGGAGGAAAGGUGUGGUCAAUUACCUCGAGCCGACUCUGAGGAGCAAACUGAGGCGAGGAGACGAACACACCGACAGCACGUUCCUCAGCUCCCCAAUGUUCAAGGACAAGAGGAAGAAGAAAACUGUCAGCAAAACCAAGACAGACAGACCCAUGUUACUGGACUGAUUAUUAUCAGUUUCUCUGUUUAACUUUAUUUUUAGUUGUUUUUUCAAGUUUGCCUUAAAGUUCAAUAAAGAUGUUUUCUGGUAAAUUUGAAGUAUCUUUAAAGUUUCUCCUGGAGGUCAGUCCAUUUAUAGUCUGUGUUACGUCAUCUAACAAAAAUAUGCAUUUUCUUUUCAUUUCUGACCAUUUUAUCGAUAAAAUUAUACUUGAGUCACUGAAACCACAACUAGUAAAACUAGUUAGAAAUCUAGUUGUUCUUCUCAAUUCUUUACAUUUUGGAUAAAACCUCCUUAGAAAACUCUGUAUUCUUUGUAGUGGAGGAAAUAUUUGUAGUACUUGAGUCAUUUUUAUUGCUUCUGUGCUUCUAGUACAAAUGUUUCACUCCACUAUAUUUAACGGCUGUUUCACUGAAGGGCUUUAACUAAUAAAUGUCAUCAAU